CUUAUUUUGAGAUUGCAAAAAUGAUAUUGUGAUUUCUAGAGAUAUUAUUAUGACAUUUCAGGGCCUGUUGAUGUCGUUCUUUGAAAACGUCAGAUAUUGACAUUCGAGAGAUGAGUUAGGCAAGCAUGGCGCGGUUGGAUAUUCACGUUACAGACAAAGUGCUAGAUUUUUUACAUUUGUUUCUUCUAUUACAAACUUUACAACCUUCUUCAACAUAUGUAGAUGCAGUAGAAAGUCACAGCCAAGCGUUCAUCCAAACAGACAAACAUUUGACCUACAUUGUAGGUGAUAUUAGUGGAAUACCUUUAGAA
Long non-coding RNA from Haliotis rubra (blacklip abalone), 311 nucleotides. RefSeq lists it as uncharacterized. Lineage: Eukaryota; Metazoa; Mollusca; Gastropoda; Lepetellida; Haliotidae. The transcript has 2 exons. The record is from RefSeq and is a predicted model, not a curated record.